AGUGAACGCUGGCGGUAGGCCUAACACAUGCAAGUCGAACGGCAGCACAGGAGAGCUUGCUCUCUGGGUGGCGAGUGGCGCACGUGUGAGGAAUACAUCUGAAUCUGCCCAGUCGUGGGGGUAAACUGGGGAAACCUUACCCUAAACCGGCUAACGCCUUUCGGCCCAAGGUGGGGUAUCGCAAGCCCUCUUCGCUUUGACUGACCCAUUGUCGGAUUAGCUAGUUGCCGGGUUAAGGGCCAACCAAGGCGACGAUCCGUAGCUGGUCUGAGAGGAUGAUCAGCCACACUGGAACUGAGACACGGUCCAGACUCCUACGGGAGGCAGCAGUGGGGAAUAUUGGACAAUGGGCGAAAGCCUGAUCCAGCCAUACCGCGUGGGUGAAGAAGGCCUUCGGGUUGUAAAGCCCUUUUGUUGGGAAAGAAAACUUUCAGGCUAAUACCCUGAGAGGAUGACGGUACCCAAAGAAUAAGCACCGGCUAACUACGUG
Molecule: ribosomal RNA, 490 nt
Filed under: uncultured bacterium
Lineage: Bacteria
Description: partial 16S ribosomal RNA
Rfam family: Bacterial small subunit ribosomal RNA
Source: RNAcentral